This 253-nucleotide ribosomal RNA is filed under the name uncultured bacterium. Its description in RNAcentral is "partial 16S ribosomal RNA". It matches the Rfam family "Bacterial small subunit ribosomal RNA", at positions 524 to 776 of the family's 1533-position model. The record is from RNAcentral.
UACAGAGAUCCCAAGCGUUGUUCGGAUUCACUGGGCGUAAAGGGUGCGUAGGCGGUCGGGUAAGUCUGACGUGAAAUCUUCAAGCUUAACUUGGAAACUGCGUCGGAUACUAUUCGGCUGGAGGAAUGGAGGGGAGACUGGAAUACUUGGUGUAGCAGUGAAAUGCGUAGAUAUCAAGUGGAACACCAGUGGCGAAGGCGAGUCUCUGGACAUUUCCUGACGCUGAGGCACGAAAGCCAGGGGAGCAAACGGG